AUGAGAAAAAUGAAACUUCCUGCAAUUUCUCUGUGUGCGUCUCCCUCAGCCCCACUCCCCUUCCAAAUAACUUUUGAACCCUUUGGUCAGUUUUGGCCCUGUUGGAUCAGGAGGUUACACUGCAGGGAGUUGAGAUGAGCAGUUGGUAAGAGGAGAGAGUCUCCAUGAACAUCCCACUGGAGAGGAGUCUGUGGCUCAGCACCAGAAGAUUCAUACGGAAAAGGGACGUGAAUGCUCCAGCACACAGCUCUCUGCUGGGACAGCAGCACAGACACAGAAUGACUGAGAUGACAUGGAUGAUGCUACUUGUACUGUACCUCGUUCACCCUUCUUUGGAAUGACAACAAACACUGAGUCCUCAGCACUAGCAAGUAUGUACAGUGCCAGAAGUUUGGUUCCUACAGUGAAAGUCUGAAGAAAAAAAGAGAAGGAAAUCAGCAAUUACUGCAUUUGUGUGUAUGUCUUUGAAAUAAGGAAAUCAUGUCUUAAAGAAACAUUCACAUAUUAAUUAAAAUCCUCGAUUCUAAGACAAAUACAUCUUUAUUCUAUCAAGGACUAAUAGAAAUGUUAAAACAGUACUAAUAAAAUAUGAGACAUCAGAAUUACUGAAAA
Non-coding RNA from Sturnus vulgaris (Common starling), 612 nucleotides. The record is from RefSeq and is a predicted model, not a curated record. NCBI's taxonomy places the organism in Eukaryota, Metazoa, Chordata, Aves, Passeriformes, Sturnidae.